UCCUACGGGGCGCAGCAGUAGGGAAUAUUGGUCAAUGGAUGCAAGUCUGAACCAGCCAUGCCGCGUGCAGGAAGAAGGCCUUCUGGGUUGUAAACUGCUUUUGCCAGGGGAUAAAAAGACCUUGCGAGGUUAAUUGAAGGUACCUGGUGAAUAAGCCACGGCUAACUACGUGCCAGCAGCCGCGGUAAUACGUAGGUGGCAAGCGUUGUCCGGAUAUAUUGGGUUUAAAGGGUGCGUAGGCGGCCCUGUAAGUCAGUGGUGAAAUAUCGCAGCUUAACUGUGAGGGUGCCAUUGAUACUGCAGGGCUUGAGUAAAGUCGAGGUAGGCGGAAUUGACGGUGUAGCGGUGAAAUGCUUAGAUAUCGUCAAGAACACCGAUAGUGAAGACAGCUUACUAGGCUUUAACUGACGCUGAGGCACGAAAGUGUGGGGAUCAAACAGGAUUAGAAACCCCGGUAGUCCC
RNAcentral lists this ribosomal RNA (462 nucleotides) under uncultured bacterium. Its description in RNAcentral is "bacterial SSU rRNA". It matches the Rfam family "Bacterial small subunit ribosomal RNA", at positions 337 to 797 of the family's 1533-position model. The record is from RNAcentral.